AUGGUAAGAAAAAACAUAGAGGUUUUCAACCGAUAUUCCUACUAGAAAAUGCUAAGAAAAAACAUAAAGGUUUUCAAUCAAUAUUCCUACAGACGAAUCAUAUUUUUCAUCUGUCCUCGAAAAAUCGGAAAAAAAAAAGGGAAAAGAGGCAACCGGCGGACAGAGUUGCUGCGCAGCGGCGGCGGCCUCGGAUCUGGGCUAUGGUUGAGCUUCCUUAUCCGGGAGGAGGUGGUCGAUGAGCCACCGGCGGCGGAGCUGGGCCAGAGCAGGAAGAGGUCGUGGAGUCGGGGCCGGAGGUCUACUCGGGGCGGCGGCGGGGGUCGUAGGUCGCGGAGGUGGUCCGGCCGACGCGACGCAGCUUCCUCGUCCUCUCUAUGGCUCUACGUUCCGGCCCCUUCCAAUAUUCAGAUUCAGAUGGAUGGAUCCUGUCUGCUACAAAAUUCAUCAGCUGCAGCAGCAGCAGCAGGACAAGAUUAAUUAUAUAUAUUGGCGACUUUUUAAAGGAUUAAUUGGUAACGAGCAUUUCUAUCGAUCCGGGACAGCAUCUGCGUUUCGAUUUUGAAAAAUAAGAAUCAAGUCAGCCUUCAAGCAGUGAUGCCUUUCCAUGUCAAUGUUCGUUGAUGCACAGAUUGGGCUCACUUUAGCUCACAACUAGCCAGCCCAACUUACAAUGUUGAAAAGACGAAACGCCGUUAGCCAAGUCCGAUGGGCAAUGGGUACUCGAGUUAGGUGUCAUCUCUCUUUCGGAACCAAGGAUUGAAUAUAUAUGCCUCAUGAAUGAAGAAUACUUACAUACAUAUAGUUCUAGGAAUGCCUCAUGAGAACGAGCAAGGUCCUUCCAUGGAGUGCUCUUUGCUAACGAGAACAGCAUGGGCUUUGAACACAGAAGCACAUAACUUGGUUUGCUAUGCUUUAUCUUCGUGUGUUGGCCGCCAUCUUUGGCUGGCAGUGCCACCCAAUGAGGUUUGUAUUCCUCAAAACAUUAUUAGCUAAAAAAAAGAGAAGUGCUCUUUACUUUUUUCUUUUCUUUUCAUUUUCUGAUGUGUGUGCAUAUAUGAUCUACAAUCUCUACUGCUGGCCCUAGUUGUUCCUUUGUCGUCCCCUUUCUAGAGGCAUUGUUGUUGAAGCACCUUUCAUGUUACCU
This is a long non-coding RNA of Triticum aestivum (bread wheat), 1144 nucleotides long. RefSeq lists it as uncharacterized. The transcript is spliced from 3 exons. The record is from RefSeq and is a predicted model, not a curated record. Lineage: Eukaryota; Viridiplantae; Streptophyta; Magnoliopsida; Poales; Poaceae.